CAGCCGCCGCGGUAAUACGGAGGGAGCUAGCGUUGUUCGGGAUCACUGGGCGUAAAGCGCACGUAGGCGGCUAUUCAAGUCAGGGGUGAAAGCCCGGGGCUCAACCCCGGAACUGCCUUUGAAACUAGAUAGCUUGAAUCUUGGAGAGGCGAGUGGAAUUCCGAGUGUAGAGGUGAAAUUCGUAGAUAUUCGGAAGAACGCCAGUGGCGAAGGCGACUCGCUGGACAAGUAUUGACGCUGAGGUGCGAAAGCGUGGGGAGCAAACAGGAUUAGAUACCCGCGUAGUCCCUGUCUCUUAUAC
This 301-nucleotide ribosomal RNA is filed under the name uncultured bacterium. RNAcentral's name for it is "partial 16S ribosomal RNA". It matches the Rfam family "Bacterial small subunit ribosomal RNA", at positions 509 to 807 of the family's 1533-position model. The record is from RNAcentral.